Long non-coding RNA from Siniperca chuatsi (mandarin fish), 4038 nucleotides. RefSeq lists it as uncharacterized. The transcript is spliced from 2 exons. The record is from RefSeq and is a predicted model, not a curated record. NCBI's taxonomy places the organism in Eukaryota, Metazoa, Chordata, Actinopteri, Centrarchiformes, Sinipercidae.
GCUGUUCAUGUAUUAAACAAAAAACUGAGGUGUAAAAUGCCAUUUUACCAUAAUAUGAAAAGCAAACUAUUUAUGAUACAAAGGAUGGUGACAGUGACAUGGCUGCUGAAUACAGCAGAUCCAGUGGUGCAGAGGAGAGGUGGAAAUCACACAGAAAGCGAUUACAUAACAGAACUGAAGUCCACUUUCAAUACUCGACUGGGCCAAGAAGCCACAUUGCAGAGACAGGUUAUACAACAAUGUCCAAGGCCAAGGGUAUAAAGCACUCACAUGACACCACAGGGUGUGUGUAUGUGAGAAAGACAGAGAAAGAGACAGAUUGUGGGUGCAGACAGGGUUCACAGUGUGAAACACCGGUCUGUACUGUAACAUUGCUGCUAUUCAUGGACAUACAACUCUGUAACAAUAAAGCCUGUGUCUCUGAGGUCAGUGUGUACUUGGUACUUGUUUAUAAAUGAGUGUUAAAAAGGGUCCUUGGUUCAGUGCCUGUCAUGUCACAGAGCUGUAUCUGCUGCAUCAAGCUACUGAACAUGAGUGUGAAAACACAGAGGUUCACGUUAGGCUGUUGUCUUCAGCUCUGGAAAUCUAAGUGCUCAAUGCCUCUGGGUUUAGUUAAUGUUGGACACAGGCAUUUUACUGUGCAACACUGAAACUGGCAGUUCACUGAGACUGCAAAGAACAAACAGACACUGAGGUACUGAGCAUACUUUUCAUUUGACUGUAUUUGAUUGCGAUAGGAAGCAAAAGGGUCACUGUAUACAUCCAUAGAUAUUUUUUUUAUUUGUUUCAGGUCAUAGAAGGUGUUAUACCAAAAACUUGUCAGAAAAAUGCAUCUUUUCUUAGUAGAACACCUCGUACUACUCCUCCCCUCCAGCACAUCCAGCUUUAUUCACCAUGUUUUCGGCUGUCUUCUUCCAGUCCAUUAAUCAGUCAUGUGACUUAGAUCACCAUAGAUACUAAAUAUACAAAACAACCAUCUUUCAAAAAUAUUUGUAACAAAAUACAAUACACAGAAAUGUACAAGAGAAAUAUAAAUGAUCAUAAAUACAAAACAUACAAUACUACAACCAACUUCUCAAAAUAUUCUUUAGCAAAUCCAAUCUUUCAUCUUCACCUAUCAAUGGGCAAAAAGGUUGAAUCUAAAUUUCUCAAUACAAAGCAGCAAAUUCUGUAAUCUUUCUAUCUCCUUUUUUUCAAACUCAUUUUUCAAAAAUACAGUACACACAAGUCUCUUCCAUCUCUUUAUAGUUAUGGAUAACCCUAACUAAUGUCAAAGUCCAUCUGCGGUUGACCAUAACACAUCCUUCCUUUAAAUUUAACUACACUUUAACCGGAAACAGCCUCAGACACGCCCCUGACGAGGGCAAAGUAGCUGAAAAUGUUUGGUGAAUAAAGCAUGGCGCACUGGAGAAGAGUUGUGAGACGUGUUUUAAUUUUGAUGGACUGAGGCUUGCGGUGGGCUGCAGAUUGCUGAGUGUGCCUUAGAAAAACAUCAGAGUUCUUAACCACAGAGGAAGAUGUUGUUCAGCUUUGUGAGUCACGCCCAGGCAAUGCUAUCAUACUGCCUGAUAUUUCUUGCUGUGUGACUAAAGCUGCUUUGGACGGCUGACCCUGCUGACCCGCUGUGGUGGAGGAGAUGUGCAGAGAAAGGCCUCGUCACAACAACCAAACACUGGCUCUGACAGGGGUGGAACCACGCCAGGGUGCAGCACUGCUCAGCUUCAUGCAACCCUGCUCUACCAUAGCACAAUCUGGACCACUCACCAAGUGAGUGUUAAGAGAGAAAAGAAUAAAAACAAAUGCCUGCAAAUUUCAGCACGGUUGGAUCAAACUGUUUCGACACAUAAUCGCAGUUAAAAGUACGAUGACAGGUUAUUGGCAGGCCAGGAGUAGGGUAAAAAAGUCAAAUCCCCACAUUGAGAAACAAAAAUCAAACUGUACUUUAAAACCCCAAAUGUGAAUCAAGCCUUUUAUUUCAAGCAGCCCUCCAACAGCUCCCUGGAAUGCAAAAGGGCUACAGUAUAAACUGCUCAACAGAACAUACUGUAAAACAGCAUCCAUUUAUGGAAAUCAUAAUCAAAUAAAUCCUGAACCUGUACAUAAUGUACAUCAGUGAUAAAAUGAUUAAUCGAUUAGGAAAUGGACCGAAAAUAAUUUCUUAACUAUAAUUAAUAAAAUAUUUUGAAUUCACUGUUUUGAUAAGAUAAUCUGAAAGUCAUUUGUCAAACAAGACUAAGUCUACAGCUACGCUAGCCUCUAUGUACAUAGGCACAGCACUGCUUGGAGCUAAAUGCUUACUUUAGCAUGCUAACAUGCUGAUGUUUAGCAUGUCUAAUGGUCACCAUGUUCAUUACCUUAGUUUAGCAUGUUAGUAUGCUGACGCUGACACUUGCUAAUUAGCACUAAACACAAAGUACAGCUGAGGCUGAUGAUAAUUUCAUCAGUUUUUCAGGUAUUUAAUAAACCAGUAGUGGACAAACCUGAUGAUGGCGCUAGAUGAAAAGUUAAAGCUUAACCAAAGUUAUUACAAUUCAAGAAUCGAUUGUUAUAAUAUUAUUAUAAUCAAUAAGAAAAAAUAGUUCUAUCUCCAAUGUCUAUAUAUGGAUGCAGUGUAAAAUGUGUGACUCUGUUAGAAUGCACUUUGAAAUUCUCUAAGCCAUAAAUACAUCUGUGCACUAACACUGCUGAGACAAUCGUCUGUGCAGUUAUCACUGACGGUGACCACACUGAUUCUGGCUCUAAUUCUACACCAGUGCUGGCCUGAGAUAAAGGGCUGGCCCGCUUCUUUCAGAGUAUUCCAGGGAAUCAAUCUGUCCACUAGCUUCACUUCCUAAUAUUGUUUCUUGGUGUGCAGGGGGUGUAGAGCCUGGCUUCUGGUCAAUACUCCCUCAUCUCUAUCUCACAGCCUCUCUGUAGCUUCUCAGGCAGUGGCUCAAUGGAAACAGCUACACUGGAGCUGUAACAGUGCAUUACAGAGUUACAGUGGAUUCUCACAGGAACACAAAGGAUGGCUCCCAUGCAAACUUUACAAGAAUUCUUGGUAUUGUCUGUAAUUACUGUCAGUAACUGGGCCUCUGCAAUGGUAACAAUUCAAAGCUACACUAAUUUCUAUAAAAACAACAACCAUCAAACAUACUAUCACAACCAUUUUAUAUCUUCUAGUGAAAGAAUGUUGAGCAUUUCUGUUGGGUGCUUUAGAAAAAGGAUGCAGCCAGUUUGUCACAAAGUGCUGGUUUUCAGUUAUUAACAAUGGUCAGAGUUUAGUUACAACUGCAGGUUUAAGGAAAUAUCUUCAGCAUAUGAAUGAAUUAUGUAAGAUACUGUAACCCAACAUGCUGAAGAUAUUUCCUUGUGAAUUAACUGUAAUCAGAUAUGACAAAAUCAGAUUAGAUUGGUUACGUAAGACAGCAUUAGCUGGCAGAGCUCUGGAUUGACGCAACAAAUGAAUACUGGAUAUCAGCUGAGAUUUUAGGAUUACUGUUUGGCAACAAUAAAUGUCACAGCUAAACCACACUGGUUUUAUUUUCAGGGAGCAGAAAAAUCAAAGCACACUUUUACUGCAAAUGAGUUUGGGGCAUGUGAGAUAACAACCCGCCCUUUUUUUCCUUCUGAUUUGUCCCGUCUCUGUCUCAGAGCUGAGGUAGAAUGGGUGUUUCUGCAUUCACUGCUUGUCAGUAGAAACACAAGGCUUUGCUGGCUCUCUAAGAGGAUCAUUUUUAAAUCCACCAGGAUCCAUUGGCCUCUUUACAGUGUACCGUCUGGUACCACAAAUGCUAGGUUCGUUCUGUAAACGUGACAUAAAAGACAAACACAUUUUGAGUUGAUGGAGCAUCCUUGUCUGGGAGAGGGAGGAUUUAAUGUGCCCAGGUGAGAAACAUGAGAGAAGAAAAUCAAAAGAAGAAGCUAUUCUGCUGUGAAAAAUGUCCAGCUGUGAUACAUGACACAAAUUAUAAUUAAAAUUGCAUGUCUCCUCAGUCUCUCUCUCCCUUCCUGAGGUGAACCUGCAUCACCUGCCUUACUGAAGGCGGUGAAACUCCA